RNAcentral lists this small RNA (27 nucleotides) under Bombyx mori (domestic silkworm). Its description in RNAcentral is "ovarian small RNA-11131". The record is from RNAcentral. Lineage: Eukaryota; Metazoa; Arthropoda; Insecta; Lepidoptera; Bombycidae.
ACAGUGUCCUAAGUCUUUAACCAGUAA